ACCUGGCUGGCUCAGCUUGUGGGGUGUGUGACUCAUGAUCACAGGGUCGUAGGUUCGAGCCCUAUGCUGGGUG
RNAcentral lists this transfer RNA (73 nucleotides) under Felis catus (domestic cat). It matches the Rfam family "tRNA". From Rfam's summary of the family: Transfer RNA (tRNA) molecules are approximately 80 nucleotides in length. RNAcentral also lists the same sequence under 4 other names. The record is from Rfam by way of RNAcentral. Lineage: Eukaryota; Metazoa; Chordata; Mammalia; Carnivora; Felidae.